CCCAGGCCCAUAAGUACAUCGCCCGACGGUGGUUAACACCGCCCGGCGGUAGGCAGGACACCUAAUCCACCCUCAGCGCUGCCGCUUGAGCGUUCUCUUUAAAUUCCACUAACGAGUCCACUGCCCGGCGGUGGCUGCGAUUCCAUCUUCACCUCUUGGCGGUGCCCUUUAAGCGCGUGACAGUGUAAUCAUAGAAGGUCUCACCGCCCGACUGUGCUAUCACCGCCCAACGGUGGCUGCAGUUCAACUCUGCUUCAUUCUUCCACCUUCUUCUACAUCCAACACUUCUCUUCCUUCAAUUCAUUCAUCAAACUCCUGAUAAAUCCUGUCAAAACAAAGGAAACCAAGCAUAAAACCUAGAAAACCUACUUUGACUCUCUUCCUCUCUAACUUAAGCAUUUUGCAUGAUUUCAAGCUAAUUCUAAGUCAUAA
This 432-nucleotide long non-coding RNA is filed under the name Vigna radiata. RNAcentral's name for it is "long non-coding RNA (VRAD_LNC006762)". The record is from RNAcentral. Lineage: Eukaryota; Viridiplantae; Streptophyta; Magnoliopsida; Fabales; Fabaceae.